Molecule: ribosomal RNA, 254 nt
Filed under: uncultured bacterium
Lineage: Bacteria
Description: partial 16S ribosomal RNA
Rfam family: Bacterial small subunit ribosomal RNA
Source: RNAcentral
UACGUAGGACCCAAGCGUUAUCCGGAUUGACUGGGCGUAAAGAGUUGCGUAGGUGGUUUGUUAAGCGAAUAGUGAAAUCUUGUGGCUCAACCAUAAGGCUAUUGUUCGAACUGGCAGACUCGAGAAUGGAAGAGGUAUCUGGAAUUCCCAGUGUAGGAGUGAAAUCCGUAGAUAUUGGGAGGAACACCAAUGGCGUAGGCAGGUCUCUGGGCCAUAACUGACGCUGAGAAGCGAAAGCAUGGGGAGCGAACAGG